This 546-nucleotide ribosomal RNA is filed under the name Triticum aestivum (bread wheat). Its description in RNAcentral is "partial small subunit ribosomal RNA". The record is from RNAcentral. Lineage: Eukaryota; Viridiplantae; Streptophyta; Magnoliopsida; Poales; Poaceae.
AUGUUAGAACAACCUGUUAACAUUUUGUGUUGGAACGUGAGGGGUCUAAAUUGUUUGGAUCGUCGAACUACUGUGCAUGAGACCAUUGCGGCUUCAUCCUGUCAGAUUGUGUGCCUGCAAGAAUCCAAGUUAGACAACGUCGACAAGUUUACUGCUGCAUAUCUGGGAGGUUUUCGCCUUCGUAGCUUUGCCCAGUUACCGGCUGUGGGCAUCCGUGGAGGCAUUCUGAUGCUCUGGGAUGAUUCCAUCAUUGGCAUCAAUGACAUUGUGGCGCUGGAAUUCUGCCUCUCCGCCUCAGUUACCCUGCGUGAAUCCAGCACCACCUUCAAGAUCACUACCGUCUAUGGUCCUUCUACCGCCUCAAGAAAAGAUGUUUUCCUUGCCGAGUUGAUCACCCAAAAGCCUGUUUGUGGAUCCAAGUGGCUGGUUCUAGGUGAUUUCAACCAAAUUUAUAGGGCCCGUGACAAGAAUAAGUGCAACAUUAAUAGAAGCCGCAUCACUCGUUUCCGCAACGCCCUUCAAUCCUGUGACCUCAAAGAGAUUCAC